This 439-nucleotide ribosomal RNA is filed under the name uncultured bacterium. RNAcentral describes it as "partial 16S ribosomal RNA". It matches the Rfam family "Bacterial small subunit ribosomal RNA", at positions 339 to 795 of the family's 1533-position model. The record is from RNAcentral.
CUACGGGAGGCAGCAGUGAGGAAUAUUGCACAAUGGGGGGAACCCUGAUGCAGCAACGCCGCGUGGAGGAUGACGCAUUUCGGUGUGUAAACUCCUUUUAUAUGUCAAGAAAAUGACGGUAGCAUAUGAAUAAGCACCGGCUAACUCCGUGCCAGCAGCCGCGGUAAUACGGAGGGUGCAAGCGUUAAUCGGAAUUACUGGGCGUAAAGGACGCGUAGGCGGGUUGGAAAGUCAGGUGUGAAAUCCUACAGCUUAACUGUAGAACUGCACUUGAAACUUCUAAUCUAGAGUAUGGGAGGGGGAGAUGGAAUUAGUGGUGUAGGGGUAAAAUCCGUAGAUAUCACUAGGAAUACCUAAAGCGAAGGCGAUCUCCUGGAACAUUACUGACGCUAAGGCGUGAAAGCGUGGGGAGCAAACAGGAUUAGAUACCCCGGUAGUC